CCUACGGGUGGCAGCAGUGAGGAAUAUUGGUCAAUGGACGAGAGUCUGAACCAGCCAAGUAGCGUGAAGGAUGACUGCCCUAUGGGUUGUAAACUUCUUUUAUAAAGGAAUAAAACGAGGCACGUGUGCCUUUUUGCAUGUACUUCAUGAAUAAGGCUCGGCUAACACCGUGCCAGCAGCCGCGGUAAUACGGAGGGUCCGAGCGUUAUCCGGAUUUAUUGGGUUUAAAGGGAGCGUAGGUGGGUUGUUAAGUCAGUUGUGAAAGUUUGCGGCUCAACCGUAAAAUUGCAAUUGAUACUGGCAUUCUUGAGUACGGGUGAGGUAGGCGGAAUUCGUGGUGUAGCGGUAAAAUGCUUAGAGAUCAAGAGGAACCCCGAUUGCGAAGGCAGCUUACUAAACUGUGACUGACAUUGAUGCUCGAAAGUGUGGGUAUCAAACAGGAUUAGAUACCCCAGUAGUC
This 460-nucleotide ribosomal RNA is filed under the name uncultured bacterium. RNAcentral's name for it is "partial 16S ribosomal RNA". It matches the Rfam family "Bacterial small subunit ribosomal RNA", at positions 338 to 795 of the family's 1533-position model. The record is from RNAcentral.